Molecule: unclassified non-coding RNA, 252 nt
Filed under: uncultured Bacillaceae bacterium
Lineage: Bacteria; Bacillati; Bacillota; Bacilli; Caryophanales; Bacillaceae
Description: contains 16S-23S intergenic spacer region
Rfam family: Bacterial small subunit ribosomal RNA
Source: RNAcentral
UACGAGGGGUGCAAACGUUGUCCGGAAUUAUUGGGCGUAAAGCGCGCGCAGGCGGUCUCUUAAGUCUGAUGUGAAAGCCCCGGCUCAACCGGGGAGGGUCAUUGGAAACUGGGAGACUUGAGUACAGAAGAGGAGAGUGGAAUUCCACGUGUAGCGGUGAAAUGCGUAGAUAUGUGGAGGAACACCAGUGGCGAAGGCGACUCUCUGGUCUGUAACUGACGCUGAGGCGCGAAAGCGUGGGGAGCAAACAGG